AACGAACGCUGGCGGCAUGCCUAACACAUGCAAGUCGAACGAUGGUCUUCGGCUUAUAGUGGCGCACGGGUGCGUAACGCGUGGGAAUCCGCCCGUGUGUUCGGAAUAACAGUUGGAAACGACUGCUAAUACCGGAUGAUGUCGCUAAGACCAAAGAUUUAUCGCCCGAGGAUGAGCGCGCGUCGGAUUAGCUAGUUGGUGGGGUAAAGGCUUACCAAGGCGACGAUCCGUAGCUGGCCUGAGAGGAUGUUCAGCCACACUGGGACUGAGACACGGCCCAGAAUCCUACGGGAGGGAGCAGAAGGGUGUAUUAGACAAGGGGCGCGAGUCUAGUACAGCCGUGCCGCGUAAGUGAUGAUGGGCUUAGGGUUGUAAAGCUCUUUUACCCGGGAAGUUAAUGACUGUAACGGGAAAAUAAGCCCCGGCUAACUCCGUG
This 436-nucleotide ribosomal RNA is filed under the name uncultured bacterium. RNAcentral describes it as "partial 16S ribosomal RNA". It matches the Rfam family "Bacterial small subunit ribosomal RNA", at positions 29 to 507 of the family's 1533-position model. The record is from RNAcentral.